Long non-coding RNA from Bombyx mori (domestic silkworm), 377 nucleotides. RefSeq lists it as uncharacterized. Lineage: Eukaryota; Metazoa; Arthropoda; Insecta; Lepidoptera; Bombycidae. The record is from RefSeq and is a predicted model, not a curated record. The transcript has 2 exons.
ACGUAGGUAGUAUUGUCAAUGGGUAGUAAUUAAACAAUGAGUUUUUUUUAUUUGAAGAGCUAUCUCAUUAUCCCGUUGCUUAGUUAUUAAUUAUGAAGUUUGAUGUUAUGGCCAAAAAAGCUUCUGUGCCUGGACUUUGAUGACAUUUUAAUUCUUGUUGGCAAAAGACUAGUUUUUCUAAAGAUUUUAGGUACUGCGUUCGUAUAAAUUAAUAAUGCUAAAGCUAGACCAAAAGGACUUACAAGUGUUGCCCGCAUCAAAUAAAAAAAUUGCAAUAUUAUAAUAUUUUCCUGCAGCAAAUAUGUAUAUCUAUCUAGGAUUAAGCAGGAAAAAACAAUUAUAAAUUUAAUUUCAUUAAAACUAUUUUUACGACUCAA